UUCAGAAAAACUAUAUAUUAGCUGAGAGAACCGAGACUCUAUUUUAUUGCUUGAAACAAAGAUAUCCUGAGCUUUCUCAGACUUCCUUGGACACAUGCAAGAUUCAAUACAACCGGGAUGUAGGGAAAGCAAUAUUAGAGAGCUACUCAAGAGUGCUAGAAAGCCUAGCAUUCAACGUUGUCGCUUGGAUUGAUGAUGUUCUUUAUGCAGAUAAAUCAGUGAGGAACCAAGAUGUAUAGAAAUCCCAAAUGGGGUUAUCAGCUGCUUUCAGCAUCUCUGCUCUCAUGUUCAACAUUUUUUUUAUUUGUUUGUCACAGGCUUAGAAGAAUCAGUGCAUCAUAUAUUGAUAUUUGUAUGAGAUGCUUUCCCGUGCAAAUGUAUGCAGCUUAGUUGUUAAUUGUACUACAGAUUACUGCUUUCAUAUUGGAUUUAAUGAUUUCA
Long non-coding RNA from Prosopis cineraria, 441 nucleotides. RefSeq lists it as uncharacterized. The transcript is spliced from 2 exons. The record is from RefSeq and is a predicted model, not a curated record. Lineage: Eukaryota; Viridiplantae; Streptophyta; Magnoliopsida; Fabales; Fabaceae.